GAUGAAGAACGCAGCGAAAUGCGAUAAGUAAUGCGAAUUGCAGAAUCCGUGAGUCAUCGAAUCUUUGAACGCACAUUGCGCCCGCCAGUAUUCUGGCGGGCAUGCCUGUUCGAGCGUCAUUUCAACCAUCAAGCCCCCGGGCUUGUGUUGGGGACCUGCGGCUGCCCGCAGGCCCUGAAAACCAGUGGCGGGCUCGCUGUCACACCGAGCGUAGUAGCAUCAUCUCGCUCAGGGCGUGCUGCGGGUUCCGGCCGUUAAAAAGCCUCUAAUACCCAAGGUUGACCUCGGAUCAGGUAGGAAGACCCGCUGAACUUAAGCAUAUCAAUAAGCGGAGGA
Molecule: unclassified non-coding RNA, 336 nt
Filed under: soil metagenome
Description: partial contains 5.8S ribosomal RNA, internal transcribed spacer 2, and large subunit ribosomal RNA
Rfam family: 5.8S ribosomal RNA (bases 1-119)
Source: RNAcentral